CCCUUAGAUGUUCUGGGCCGCACGCGUGCUACACUGAGUAAAUCAAUGGGUAAGGGAACACGAAAGUGCAACCUAAUCUUGAAAUUUGCUCGUGAUGGGGAUCGACGGUUGCAAUUUUCCGUCGUGAACGAGGAAUACCUUGUAGGCGCGUGUCAUCAUCACGCGCCGAAUACGUCCCUGCCCUUUGUACACACCGCCCGUCGCUCCUACCGAUUGGGUGUGCUGGUGAAAUGUUCGGAUCGGCCGUUUGUCGCGGUUUCCGCGUCAUGUGGCUGAGAAGUUCAUUAAACCCUCCCACCUAGAGGAAGGAGAAGUCGUAACA
Molecule: ribosomal RNA, 322 nt
Filed under: uncultured eukaryote
Lineage: Eukaryota
Description: partial 18S ribosomal RNA
Rfam family: Eukaryotic small subunit ribosomal RNA
Source: RNAcentral